This 354-nucleotide ribosomal RNA is filed under the name uncultured bacterium. RNAcentral describes it as "bacterial SSU rRNA". It matches the Rfam family "Bacterial small subunit ribosomal RNA", at positions 8 to 354 of the family's 1533-position model. The record is from RNAcentral.
AGAUUUUGAUCCUGGCUCAGAAUGAACGCUGGCGGUAGGGCUUAACACAUGCAAGUCGAACGGAAACGAUGAAAAGCUUGCUUUUCAGGCGUCGAGUGGCGGACGGGUGAGUAACCGCGUGGGAAUCUACCCUAUAGUUGGGGACAACAUAUGGAAACGUAUGCUAAUACCGAAUAUGCUCUACGGAGUAAAGGAGCCCUCUUCUUGAAAGGUUUCGCUAUAGGAUGAGCCCGCGUUAGAUUAGCUAGUUGGUGAGGUAAAGGCUCACCAAGGCCACGAUCUAUAGCUGGUUUGAGAGGAUGAUCAGCCACACUGGGACUGAGACACGGCCCAGACUCCUACGGGAGGCAGCAG